RNAcentral lists this ribosomal RNA (468 nucleotides) under uncultured bacterium. RNAcentral describes it as "partial 16S ribosomal RNA". It matches the Rfam family "Bacterial small subunit ribosomal RNA", at positions 28 to 507 of the family's 1533-position model. The record is from RNAcentral.
GACGAACGCUGGCGGCGUGCUUAACACAUGCAAGUCGAACGGAAAGGCCCUGCUUUUGUGGGGUGCUCGAGUGGCGAACGGGUGAGUAACACGUGAGUAACCUGUCCUUGACUUUGGGAUAACUUCAGGAAACUGGGGCUAAUACCGGAUAGGAGCUCCUGCUGCAUGGUGGGGGUUGGAAAGUUUCGGCGGUUGGGGAUGGACUCGCGGCUUAUCAGCUUGUUGGUGGGGUAGUGGCUUACCAAGGCUUUGACGGGUAGCCGGCCUGAGAGGGUGACCGGCCACAUUGGGACUGAGAUACGGCCCAGACUCCUACGGUAGGCAGCAGUGGGGAAUAUUGCACAGUGAGCGGAAGCCUGAUGCAGCAACGCCGCGUGCGGGAUGACGGCCUUCGGGUUGUAAACCGCUUUCGCCUGUGACGAAGCGUGAGUGACGGUAAUGGGUAAAGAAGCACCGGCUAACUACGUG